CUCAAGGUUGCCAUGGUGCAGAGAUUGUUUUGAGAGGUUGGGAUAUCGCCAUAUUUUCCACUGUGAAUGAAUGAAUUCAGAAUUCACUCGUAAACAAUCAGCUUUGGCUUCUUUGUCAUCUACAGCCAAACGACACUGGGGAUACAAGUGGUGUACCUCAAAAAAUGAUUUCAGACGGAAAAGAAAUUCUUAUGAAAAAUGCUUGUACAGCUACGCUAACAAAGAGUUAAAAUCUUGUGAUCCAUCUUGUUGGGGGUAGUGUAAUUCUGCUUAAACCAGCCUAAAUCAGAUGUAUCUACACGGAAGUGUUUGAUUAGUGUUGGCAGAUGUCUCAUGUUUCCUACCUUACAAAGGGGCAGCCAACUGCACCUUGUACUUUUUAUUGGACCUGCAGUUUUACCUCAUCAGUGAUCUUUUGUGUGACGAUGCUGACAUUGAUCCUCUGUGAUCUCUUCUUGUUUUUCCUGAUGCCAGUCGUGUAGAUUUCUCUCUUGUAGUGUGUGUGAGUGACUUUUCAACAUAUGCAUGUCAAACCUAAACAUGCACAAGCCCAUUUUUUUUUUUUUAAAACUGAAAAGCAUAGCUACCCUGUUUGAACAUUUUCUCCUCAUAAUCAACAGACGAGUCUGUUAUUUGGUGCAAGUCAUAUGGAGUGAAGGGUACAGUCUAAUUUUAAGGUGGGAAAUGAAGGUAGCUAUAAAACUUUACCUCUGUAAGUCAAAACAAUACAAUUUUACUGUAUGACUAAUGCUAGUUUGACCGCCUUCCCUGCCUGAACACUUGGUUAUUAAUUUCCCCCCACCAGUAGGACCUGUGUAAUAUCAAGCACAGUGGUGGCAUGGUGCCUUUUAUUUGUUACUACCGAAAGGUACGGUCUUCCAUUUGUAUUUCCCAGAAGCCUUAUAAUGGGAAAAAAUAAAUUACACUGAACAUACAUGACCACAGUAGAUAGGCUCAUACUCCCUCUGAGCAUUAUUAUUUCAAUCCUGUGUGAUCGGAGUUAAAACAAAGAAGAAAAAAAAAGCCUAAAUAACUCCUUCUGUAUUAGUCUGGAUUUCACUAUGUGUUUCCAGUGACUGAGUGCUCCCCUAGGGUGGCAGAAUAAAUUGCACAUAACUGAUGCGAUUUAGGGCACAUCAAACAUAGAAUGGAUGGGGAUCAAUAGUACGAAAGCACAAAUCCAAAGAAGGCACCUCGGGGGCUCAGUUAGCUCCCCCAACAAUAAGAAGCGAAGGAGCCUAUAGACCAAAUUUAGGCAAAGAUGUGAGGAAAAACAUUCAACUCCUGAGUGCAGACACCAUGAGGUUUGAUUGUCAGUAACACAUGAACUGUAGAAAGACCAUUGUCUGGAAUUUCAGAGCUGCUUCUGAUUGUUCUUCUCAGCUCUUGGGUAUUCAUCGAUGAUUAGUAACUUCGCAGUGCAAACCAAGUUGUGAAAUGAUGCGGUACCUGCAUUCACCAUCAUAUUUAGGUAAACUGUUUGUUGUGACUGUGUUGCAAAUUGAUUGUGGAGAUUGUUUUGUGUUAUUUAGGGUAGACUGACUACAAGUAGGGUUGCAGUAGUAGCUGUGUGCAGUGUUAAUAACAGUGUGAUCAUAUUAUAGAAGUGACGUAACAUUUGUUGUCUUACUACGACAUUAAGGCAUGAAUCAUCUUCUCUCAAGCUGACCUCGUUUGAAAUAGACAAAAGAUAAAAGUGCAAUAACCUUUUGUUUAUCAUUGCUUCCUCAGUUGAAAAAAAAAAUUAUUUAAUAUGCCCUUUUUGUUAACACCAAAAGUCACUCAUCUGUAGCAAAUGAAGGAUUUCAAGUGGUCCUCUUGUUUGUGUUCAGAGAGGUGGCGUUUGAUAGUGGAGUGUGUGAUAUUCCAUUCUUAAAACUGUGAUCAAUAUCCAACUUUAAAAGCUGCCUGCUCAGACAAAGGACCGUGCACAAGUUGACUGAUAGAUUUGAGUAGGUGCUUUUUUUUUUUUUCUUUUUUCUUUAUCUGGAUGGACUUUGAUGGUAUUGUAGUUUGGACUUCUGGUUUAUAGCCGGUAGACAUGUUCAUUUGCAUGUGUAGAUGUGUAUAUGCAUCCUCUCUUCCUCCUUGAAUGAAAUGUUUUCUCAAAAAUAUUUAGACCUGCUGUCAGUGAUGUAUGCGGAUAAAAGGAAAUAUGAAAUGCCUUAUAUUUGUUUUCGAUGUUAAGCAUUAAGGGUUCUUACGUGUCCCUCCCUUUUCAGCGUGUAGCCUAAAGCUUGUACAGUUAAGAAACUCAUGAGAUUUAUAUCUACUGUAUAGCCUAUGUGUUUUCAGAAUUUGUUACUUGGAGGUCCUGUGAUUGUGGUUUUAGAGAAACAUUCCCCUUGAAAGUGCCGUUUGUUUUCACCAGCAGAAGAUGUGUCUUGGGGGAGAAAUGUAUUUAUACGAAGGAAAACAAAUGUUCAAAACACUUUGCAGUGUUUACCGUUGAACCUGUUGAGCUGAAUGACACAAAGUAUUUGUGCAGGUGAAAUAAGGCAGCAAUCUUCUGAUGGAGCACCUUACAGACUUGCUCCUUCUGUGAGCCCACAAUGGACGUAGUCUCUCACCAAGCUUGAUUACUCUAAAGCAGAGCCAUAUCAGAGAAUUUGCCCAUUAGGAGCCCCCUUUGAAUGUGCUAUUAGGAAUAGCCUACUGUAGGAAAGGAUGUAUACUGCAUGUUCUGUGACAUUUUAGUAGUGUUAGACCCUUUACAUGUUUUUGUUUUUUAGUCCGCUUCACUGUAGAUGUUGCCACCUCAUUGCAACUCACAAGCUAUUAACAGUCCUCUCACAACUGGACUUAAAGCAGGCAUUGAUCUGCUGCUGAGGCAGCCUUAAUUCACUGCAAAUUUUUUUUUAAAAAAGAGCGAGAAAUGAUAGGUAAUGGGUUGCCUGUUUUAUUUUGAGUGGCUUAUCUGAGGAAAUACAAAGGAGCCCUUAUCAUGAGUGGAAGGACUCUGAAUCAGGGCAUGUGAUGAGUUACAAUCAAAUAGUUUCACAGUGCACCUUCACAAAAAAAUGUAAAGAAAAAAAAAAGUUGGCUUGUCCACCCAACAUUCCAAAGUUGAUUUAAUUUUCCACAGUCCUGUCCCUCUGAGGAAAUCUUUUUGCUUUGCUGGUGAAUGAAGUGGGCAUGUAUGUAAAUGACAGGGUUCCCUAUUUAGCCUAACGCUGAUUACCUCAUUUACAAAUCUGCAAAUAUACUAUUCUACUGUGUGUAAAGGAGUCAGUGCCAUCACCAGCAGCGUGGUCUCGAGACCUGUGAUGACAACAGGACCAAUGAAGUUACUCUGUUGAAAUUAGCCAAUUUUAAAAUAAGACCAGUCUGGGAAUAUAGGGUUAAGACACGAUUCAAUUUUUUUUUUUUUUUUUUGUAAGGCCGAACGGGCCUCUUAAGAUUUCUUCAGUUAGUAAAUCACCUCAGCUGCUACCCCAGUCAGCAUCAGGAGCCAUCAGGAAGGCUGCAGACACCGUUUUUGAGAUUUCAAACUAAUACUCCUUAUUUUACAAGCUAAAGGUGUAAAUCUAACAUUACACUUAUUACAAACCGCUCCUCAGACUUUGACUGGAAUAGCAACUGUUGGCACUAGCAUGGUUCAAGAAACCUGGUGUAUCUCAUGAUUAUUUAAGUGAACGAUCAUGUUGGCAUCACUUGCUGUUUUUUCAGUAGCAUUUCUCCUACCUCCUUGUUUUGCAGCCUUGACUAUUGUUUGUCUCUCCACCUGUUCUGACUUUUAAAAAAAAAAUCUAUUCACAGUACGGGAAUACAGAUUUAUCAUAAGCAAUGGUAGUUAUACAUAAAGUGUGCUUGGUUGUUCUGUAUGUGUAUAUGUCUAUUUGACGUUGGAAAAAAAAUAUUUAUGAGAAGCAUUUAUACGACAAAAUACCACUGGAAUGUGAAGCCAGAUAAUGUUAUGAUGCAGAUUAUGAUGAUAGUCUAUCCCCUUUAACAUUCAGUGGCGAAUGGUCAGAGGAAUCAUCUUUUAGAAAAUUGAAUAACCGUGCAUUGGCUUUUUUUAAACACCAUAUAUUUCUUUUGGUUUCCUCUUAUGCAUGUACUUCCCUGUCUAGCCCUAUAGUAUACAAUAUUUCAAUGUUUACAGCUUCGUUCUGGGUCAGCCAUUGAUUGCCCUGCAGUUGAUAUCACAGCUUGUCACAAGGAAGAUAGUAAGGUGGAUUUGUAAUUCUGUACGAGGGUGAGUUAGAGCCCCUCGAGCCGUAUGCCUUUGAAUCCAUCUGUCCACUCUGAACCAAAUUCUGCUGCAUAGGUGUCUGUCUCCACACUGCCCCGACAUUUUACAUUCAGUUUGACUACAAGGGGUACAGGACAAGGUGAAAGGUUUGAGGUUUUCUGACCAGGGCCCCCCUAACUACCCGCCGACACCCCUCACCCACCCAUGCCUACUCCAAGACAGGACCAGCCCCAGUCCCCGUCACCCACCCACCCACUGUCUCACCUAAACCUCAAGCCAUUCAUUUUUCUGUUUUGUUUUUUCGACAAUGCAAUCCUGAAAGCACUUUGCCUUGUUAUUCCUUUGUGUGAACAUGUGAAUGAUAAUUUGUUACAGAAAUGUUAAAUAUGUAAAAGAUCAUUCACUGUUUUGGAAAAACCUGCAUCUGUCUUUCUGACGUUAAAAGAAAAAAAAAACAAUUUAGUGACAUUAAACCUGAAUCUAUUUUAUAAAAUGUUUGCUGCAGCCAAUUGGUCUUGUCAUUCAGUAUUGUGGCUUAGGGUUGUUUGUGUUCAAUAAAGUGCUAUUGCUAAAUA
Molecule: long non-coding RNA, 4770 nt
Organism: Amphiprion ocellaris (clown anemonefish)
Lineage: Eukaryota; Metazoa; Chordata; Actinopteri; Pomacentridae
Source: Ensembl